ACGAACGCUGGCGGCGUGCUUCACCCCUGCCAGUCGAACGGAAAGGCCCUGCUUUUGUGGGGUGCUCGAGUGGCGAACGGGUGAGUAACACGUGAGUAACCUGCCCUUGACUUUGGGAUAACUUCAGGAAACUGGGGCUAAUACCGGAUAGGAGCUCCUGCUGCAUGGUGGGGGUUGGAAAGUUUCGGCGGUUGGGGAUGGACUCGCGGCUUAUCAGCUUGUUGGUGGGGUAGUGGCUUACCAAGGCUUUGACGGGUAGCCGGCCUGAGAGGGUGACCGGCCACAGUGGGACUGGGAUACGGCCCAGACUCCUACGGGAGGCAGCGGUGGGAAUAUUGCACAAUGGGCGGAAGCCUGAUGCAGCAACGCCGCGUGCGGGAUGACGGCCUUCGGGUUGUAAACCGCUUUCGCCUGUGACGAAGCGUGAGUGACGGUAAUGGGUAAAGAAGCACCGGCUAACUACGUG
This 466-nucleotide ribosomal RNA is filed under the name uncultured bacterium. RNAcentral describes it as "partial 16S ribosomal RNA". It matches the Rfam family "Bacterial small subunit ribosomal RNA", at positions 29 to 507 of the family's 1533-position model. The record is from RNAcentral.